UGUUUGCUGCGUGUGGCCUGGCGGAGACACACGACAGGCAGUGUGUGUGUGUGUGUGUGUGUGUGUGUGUGUGUGUCAUCUCCGUGCAGGGUCGGGCGGCAGACUCACCGCCACACACCCACAGCCUCCUGCCAGACACUCACCACCAUGACAGCCUGAACAAGGCCUAGCGGGGCAUGCCUAAGCCUAGGUGAAGCUGAUCCCACGAGGGGAAGGAUGACGGAAGACACGCCCCAGAGGAAGACGUCAGCCAGGAAUCCCCGCAGGGUCAGCCUCCUGCCAGGGGCGUGGCAGCGGCAGCAACCGAUGGCAAGUCUGGAGAAGCAGGCAAGUUGGUGGUCAGGGCCACACACCCACACCCUCCUGGUGCCUCUGCUGCCGCGCCGGUGAGU
Molecule: long non-coding RNA, 392 nt
Organism: Eriocheir sinensis (Chinese mitten crab)
Lineage: Eukaryota; Metazoa; Arthropoda; Malacostraca; Decapoda; Varunidae
Exons: 3
Source: RefSeq, a predicted model, not a curated record